ACUCCUACGGGAGGCAGCAGUGGGGAAGUCUUUGGACAAUGGGGGCGAACCCUCGAUCCAGCCAUGCCGCGUGAGUGAUGAAGGCCCUACGGUCGUAAAGACUCUUUCGUCCAGGGAGUGAUAAUGACAGUACCUGGUAAAGAAACCCCGGACCGUAACUCCGUGCCAGCAGCCGCGGUAAUACGGAGGGGUUAGGCGUUGUUCGGAAUUACUGGGCGUAAAGACGCGCGUAGGCGGACCGAGAAAGUUAGGGGGUUGGAAAUCCCCGGGGCGUCAACCCCGGAACCUGCCUCCAAAACUACCUGGUCUUGAGUUCGAGAGAGGUGAGUGGAAUUCCGAGUGUAGAGGUGAAAUUCGUAGAUAUUCGGAGGAACACCAGUGGCGAAGGCGGCUCACUGGCUCGAUACUGACGCUGAGGUGCGAAAGUGUGGGGAGCAAACAGGAUUAGAUACCCUGGUAGCGACUGA
This 467-nucleotide ribosomal RNA is filed under the name uncultured bacterium. RNAcentral describes it as "bacterial SSU rRNA". It matches the Rfam family "Bacterial small subunit ribosomal RNA", at positions 335 to 799 of the family's 1533-position model. The record is from RNAcentral.